Molecule: ribosomal RNA, 260 nt
Filed under: uncultured bacterium
Lineage: Bacteria
Description: partial 16S ribosomal RNA
Rfam family: Bacterial small subunit ribosomal RNA
Source: RNAcentral
CGGCGGACGGGUGAGUAACGCGUGGGUAACCUGCCUUGUACAGGGGGAGUAACAGCUGGAAACGGCUGCUAAUACCGCAUAAGCGCACGAGGAGACAUCUCCUUGUGUGAAAAACUCCGGUGGUACAGGAUGGGCCCGCGUCUGAUUAGCUGGUUGGCAGGGUAACGGCCUACCAAGGCAACGAUCAGUAGCCGGACUGAGAGGUUGAACGGCCACAUUGGGACUGAGACACGGCCCAGACUCCUACGGGAGGCAGCAUG